AAAAGUGAAGACACUUCCAGAAAGUUGGUGCAGUUUUUCAGAAGUGAUAAUUCAGAUAAUUUUUUGGGGAGUGAGGAUUUUUUUUUUUUAAGUGAUGACAUGUUUGGAAAAGGUUAAGGCUAGAUUUAAGUUUUGAAAGGAGUCAAAAGGACCUGUCUAGUUGAAGGCGAAAACGGUUUUGCAAUAUGAUAUGAGAUCAAUACAAUACAGGACAGAAACUGCUGUGCAACUAGUUAUAGUGCAAUAUGCUAUGGAAAUACAAUGUCAGCACUUUUUGUGCAAAUUAAAUUUGCAUUUGUUUCUUUCAAAUGUGUUAGAACAACGUUCUUGCAAAAAAAAGGUUUGAUAAAUAAAUACAGAUCUUAAAAGCAUACAGCAAAGAUGGCAAAACGUGCAAGAGAAGCCCGCAGGUCUGCCAAUGAAAGAUUGGUGGACUUCAUCACGAAGCUGAAGGGGUCGGACAAACGGCUACUGGUAUGACACCAGUAAUAAUAAUGCUUAUACAUAAAAACAUUUCUAAUAGCAAAAAAGAUGAUCAAAGCCUGAUCUUCUGCAGUGCAUUUAUUUGACAUGGUCUUUGUAAUCACAGGUGAAGGCAGCUCCAAGUGGCUGGUGAAUUUCAGGCCUGCGAAACCAGACAGGGUCUUCACCUACCUGGAAGAAGACGACGACCAAAUUGCUGAAGUUUUUAAGCACAUCAAGUUGGUCCUCCAAAGGAGCCACAAAAUGUGCACCUUAUGUGCCAACGACAGAGUUGCAGAGAGUCAGCUUCGUGUUGGAUGUGCUGAUGCCUGAGGCCAUUGUCCACGCUCUUGUGGCAGUGGACAACCUCUCUCUAGCUGAGGCAAAGAGAAGAUUUAACGCGGGACCAUUGUAUGAUGAAAGUGAAGUGCAAGAAUUUGAUAUUAUCAAGAUACAGAAGAGGCAGUAGAUCGAGGCCGAGCAUUAAUAUUUUUAUUUUAUUUUAAUUUUAUUUAUUUUGUUUUUGUUUUGAUGUUUUUGUUUAUUAUUAUUAU
Long non-coding RNA from Lampris incognitus (smalleye Pacific opah), 1016 nucleotides. RefSeq lists it as uncharacterized. Lineage: Eukaryota; Metazoa; Chordata; Actinopteri; Lampriformes; Lampridae. The record is from RefSeq and is a predicted model, not a curated record. The transcript is spliced from 3 exons.